This 499-nucleotide ribosomal RNA is filed under the name Fusarium oxysporum. RNAcentral's name for it is "eukaryotic LSU rRNA". The stretch from base 148 to 301 matches the Rfam family "5.8S ribosomal RNA". Lineage: Eukaryota; Fungi; Ascomycota; Sordariomycetes; Hypocreales; Nectriaceae. The record is from RNAcentral.
CGAGUUUACAACUCCCAAACCCCUGUGAACAUACCACUUGUUGCCUCGGCGGAUCAGCCCGCUCCCGGUAAAACGGGACGGCCCGCCAGAGGACCCCUAAACUCUGUUUCUAUAUGUAACUUCUGAGUAAAACCAUAAAUAAAUCAAAACUUUCAACAACGGAUCUCUUGGUUCUGGCAUCGAUGAAGAACGCAGCAAAAUGCGAUAAGUAAUGUGAAUUGCAGAAUUCAGUGAAUCAUCGAAUCUUUGAACGCACAUUGCGCCCGCCAGUAUUCUGGCGGGCAUGCCUGUUCGAGCGUCAUUUCAACCCUCAAGCACAGCUUGGUGUUGGGACUCGCGUUAAUUCGCGUUCCUCAAAUUGAUUGGCGGUCACGUCGAGCUUCCAUAGCGUAGUAGUAAAACCCUCGUUACUGGUAAUCGUCGCGGCCACGCCGUUAAACCCCAACUUCUGAAUGUUGACCUCGGAUCAGGUAGGAAUACCCGCUGAACUUAAGCAUAU